UACGAAGGGGGCUAGCGUUGUUCGGAAUUACUGGGCGUAAAGCGCACGUAGGCGGUUUGUUAAGUCAGGGGUGAAAUCCCGGAGCUCAACUCCGGAACUGCCUUUGAUACUGGCAAUCUAGAGACUGGAAGAGGUUAGUGGAAUUCCCAGUGUAGAGGUGAAAUUCGUAGAUAUUGGGAAGAACACCAGUGGCGAAGGCGGCUAACUGGUCCAGUACUGACGCUGAGGUGCGAAAGCGUGGGGAGCAAACAGG
RNAcentral lists this ribosomal RNA (253 nucleotides) under uncultured bacterium. RNAcentral describes it as "partial 16S ribosomal RNA". It matches the Rfam family "Bacterial small subunit ribosomal RNA", at positions 524 to 776 of the family's 1533-position model. The record is from RNAcentral.